This 616-nucleotide ribosomal RNA is filed under the name Leiogalathea juturna. RNAcentral describes it as "SSU rRNA". It matches the Rfam family "Eukaryotic small subunit ribosomal RNA", at positions 21 to 620 of the family's 1831-position model. The record is from RNAcentral. Lineage: Eukaryota; Metazoa; Arthropoda; Malacostraca; Decapoda; Munidopsidae.
AGUCAUAUGCUUGUCUCAAAGAUUAAGCCAUGCAUGUGUCAGUACAAACCAAUAUAAGGUGAAACCGCGAAUGGCUCAUUAAAUCAGCUAUGUUUCAUUGGAUCUGUACCCCCCAUUUACUUGGACAACUGUGGUAAUUCUAGAGCUAAUACAUGCACUUAUAGUCCCUGACCGUGAGGGAAGGGCGCUUUUAUUAGUUCAAAACCGGUCGGGCCUCGGUCCGUAAACGCACCUGUGAUGACUCUGGAUAACUUUUUGCUGAGCGCACGGUCUCCGUACUGGCGCCGCAUCUUUCAAGUGUCUGCCUUAUCAGCUUUCGAUUGUAGUUUAUGCGCCUACAAUGGCUAUAACGGGUAACGGGGAAUCAGGGUUCGAUUCCGGAGAGGGAGCCUGAGAAACGGCUACCACAUCUAAGGAAGGCAGCAGGCACGCAAAUUACCCACUCCCGGCACGGGGAGGUAGUGACGAAAAAUAACGAUGCGAGACUCAUCCGAGGCCUCGCAAUCGGAAUGAGUACACUUUAAAUCCUUUAACGAGGACCCAUUGGAGGGCAAGUCUGGUGCCAGCAGCCGCGGUAAUUCCAGCUCCAAUAGCGUAUAUUAAAGUUGUUGCGGUU